RNAcentral lists this microRNA precursor (67 nucleotides) under Bombyx mori (domestic silkworm). RNAcentral's name for it is "mir-2774 microRNA precursor family". It matches the Rfam family "mir-2774 microRNA precursor family". Lineage: Eukaryota; Metazoa; Arthropoda; Insecta; Lepidoptera; Bombycidae. The record is from Rfam by way of RNAcentral.
AGAACAUUCGGACCGUCGGUCUACAAAGAAAUGUCACGUGCUCGGUGGAAGAUCUUCCCUUAAUCCU